RNAcentral lists this ribosomal RNA (485 nucleotides) under uncultured bacterium. RNAcentral's name for it is "bacterial SSU rRNA". It matches the Rfam family "Bacterial small subunit ribosomal RNA", at positions 338 to 844 of the family's 1533-position model. The record is from RNAcentral.
CCUACGGGAGGCAGCAGUGGGGAAUCUUGCGCAAUGGGCGAAAGCCUGACGCAGCCAUGCCGCGUGUAUGAUGAAGGUCUUAGGAUUGUAAAAUACUUUCACCGGUGAAGAUAAUGACUGUAGCCGGAGAAGAAGCCCCGGCUAACUUCGUGCCAGCAGCCGCGGUAAUACGAAGGGGGCUAGCGUUGCUCGGAAUUACUGGGCGUAAAGGGAGCGUAGGCGGACAUUUAAGUCAGAGGUGAAGUCCCGGAGCUUAACUUCGGAACUGCCUUUGAUACUGGGUGUCUUGAGUGUGAGAGAGGUAUGUGGAACUCCGAGUGUAGAGGUGAAAUUCGUAGAUAUUCGGAAGAACACCAGUGGCGAAGGCGACAUACUGGCUCAUUACUGACGCUGAGGCUCGAAAGCGUGGGGAGCAAACAGGAUUAGAUACCCUGGUAGUCCACGCCGUAAACGAUGAUUGNUAGUGUCGGUAGCUGUCUCUCGGU